UACGUAGGGGGCAAGCGUUGUCCGGAAUUAUUGGGCGUAAAGAGCGUGUAGGCGGUCCGGUAAGUCAGCUGUGAAAGUCAAGGGCUCAACCCUUGAAUGCCGGUUGAUACUGUCGGGCUAGAGUGCGGAAGAGGCGAGUGGAAUUCCUGGUGUAGCGGUGAAAUGCGCAGAUAUCAGGAGGAACACCGAUUGCGAAGGCAGCUCGCUGGGACGUCACUGACGCUGAGACGCGAAAGCGUGGGGAGCAAACAGG
RNAcentral lists this ribosomal RNA (253 nucleotides) under uncultured bacterium. RNAcentral describes it as "partial 16S ribosomal RNA". It matches the Rfam family "Bacterial small subunit ribosomal RNA", at positions 524 to 776 of the family's 1533-position model. The record is from RNAcentral.